RNAcentral lists this ribosomal RNA (218 nucleotides) under uncultured bacterium. Its description in RNAcentral is "partial 16S ribosomal RNA". It matches the Rfam family "Bacterial small subunit ribosomal RNA", at positions 328 to 539 of the family's 1533-position model. The record is from RNAcentral.
ACGCUCGACACCUACGGGAGGCAGCAGUGAGGAAUAUUGGUCAAUGGGCGCUAGCCUGAACCAGCCAAGUAGCGUGAAGGAUGAAGGCUCUAUGGGUCGUAAACUUCUUUUAUAUAAGAAUAAAGUGCAGUAUGUAUACUGUUUUGUAUGUAUUAUAUGAAUAAGGAUCGGCUAACUCCGUGCCAGCAGCUGCGGUAAUCUGAGCGGGCUGGCAAGGC